UACGUAGGGUGCGAGCGUUAAUCGGAAUUACUGGGCGUAAAGCGUGCGCAGGCGGUUCUGAAAGUCAGCUGUGAAAGCCCCGGGCUUAACCUGGGAACUGCGGUUGAAACUACAGGACUAGAAUCUGGCAGAGGGGGGUGGAAUUCCACGUGUAGCAGUGAAAUGCGUAGAUAUGUGGAGGAACACCGAUGGCGAAGGCAGCCCCCUGGGUUAACACUGACGCUCAUGCACGAAAGCGUGGGGAGCAAACAGG
Molecule: ribosomal RNA, 253 nt
Filed under: uncultured bacterium
Lineage: Bacteria
Description: partial 16S ribosomal RNA
Rfam family: Bacterial small subunit ribosomal RNA
Source: RNAcentral